GGCAAGAUGGCCGAGCGGUCCAAGGCGUGUGACUCAAGCGAAUGCUUGCCCUAAUUAGGGUAUUCUCAUCUCGGUAUCGGGGCGUGGGUUCAAAUCCCACUCUUGUCA
Molecule: non-coding RNA, 108 nt
Organism: Heliocybe sulcata
Lineage: Eukaryota; Fungi; Basidiomycota; Agaricomycetes; Gloeophyllales; Gloeophyllaceae
Source: the annotation of a GenBank genome assembly